CCUACGGGGGGCAGCAGUGGGGAAUAUUGCACAAUGGGGGAAACCCUGAUGCAGCGACGCCGCGUGAGCGAUGAAGUAUUUCGGUAUGUAAAGCUCUAUCAGCAGGGAAGAAACUGACGGUACCUGACUAAGAAGCCCCGGCUAACUACGUGCCAGCAGCCGCGGUAAGACGUAGGGGGCAAGCGUUAUCCGGAUUUACUGGGUGUACAGGGAGCGGAGACGGCGGUGCAAGAACGGUGUGAAAGCCCGGGGCUCAACCCCGGGACUGCAUUUGGAACUGGGCUGCUAGAGUGUCGGAGAGGCAGGCGGAAUGCCUAGUGUAGCGGUGAAAUGCGUAGAUAUUAGGAGGAACACCAGUGGCGAAGGCAGCCUGCUGGACGAUGACUGACGUUGAGGCUCGAAAGCGUGGGGAGCAAACAGGAUUAGAUACCCGUGUAGUC
RNAcentral lists this ribosomal RNA (440 nucleotides) under uncultured bacterium. Its description in RNAcentral is "partial 16S ribosomal RNA". It matches the Rfam family "Bacterial small subunit ribosomal RNA", at positions 338 to 795 of the family's 1533-position model. The record is from RNAcentral.